Long non-coding RNA from Oncorhynchus keta (chum salmon), 1793 nucleotides. RefSeq lists it as uncharacterized. The transcript has 14 exons. NCBI's taxonomy places the organism in Eukaryota, Metazoa, Chordata, Actinopteri, Salmoniformes, Salmonidae. The record is from RefSeq and is a predicted model, not a curated record.
UCUGUAUUGUUGCCUGUCACUUCUUUUCUUUGGUAUAAAAAAAUGAAACCAAAAUAAGUAGGGUAUAAGGUGGUCAGGUAGGGUAUAGGGUGGUCAGGUAGGGUAUAAGGUGGUCAGGUAGGGUAUAGGGUGGUCAGGUAGGGUAUAAGGUGGUCAGGUAGGGUAUAGGGUGGUCAGGUAGGGUGGAGGGUGGUCAGGUAGGGUGGAGGGUGGUCAGGUAGGGUGGAGGGUGGUCAGGUAGGGUGGAGGGUGGUCAGGUAGGGUAUAAGGUGGUCAGGUAGGGUGGAGGGUGGUCAGGUAGGGUGGAGGGUGGUCAGGUAGGGUGGAGGGGGUCAGGUAGGUUGGAGGGUGGUCAGGUAGGUUGGAGGGUGGUCAGGUAGGGUGGAGGGUGGUCAGGUAGGGUGGAGGGUGGUCAGGUAGGGUAUAAGGUGGUCAGGUAGGGUGGAGGGUGGUCAGGUAGGGUGGAGGGUGGUUAGGUAGGGUGGAGGGUGGUCAGGUAGGGUGGAGGGUGGUCAGGUAGGGUGGAGGGUGGUCAGGUAGGGUGGAGGGUGGUCAGGUAGGGUAUAAGGUGGUCAGGUAGGGUGGAGGGUGGUCGGGUAGGGUGGAGGGUGGUCAGGUAAGGUGGAGGGUGGUCAGGUAGGGUGGAGGGUGGUCAGGUAGGGUGGAGGGUGGUCAAAUAGCGUGGAGGGUGGUCAGGUAGGGUGGAGGGUGGUCAGGUAGGGUGGAGGGUGGUCAGGUAGGGUAUAAGGUGGUCAGGUAGGGUGGAGGGUGGUCAGGUAGGGUGGAGGGUGGUCAGGUAGGGUAUAAGGUGGUCAGGUAGGGUGGAGGGUGGUCAGGUAGGGUGGAGGGUGGUUAGGUAGGGUGGAGGGUGGUCAGGUAGGGUGGAGGGUGGUCAGGUAGGGUGGAGGGGAGUCAGGUAGGGUAUAAGGUGGUCUGGUAGGGUGGUCAGGUAGGGUGGAGGGUGGUCAGGUAGGGUGGAGGGUGGUCAGGUAAGGUGGAGGGUGGUCAGGUAGGGUGGAGGGUGGUCAGGUAGGGUGGAGGGUGGUCAGGUAGGGUGGAGGGUGGUCAGGUAGGGUGGAGGGUGGUCAGGUAGGGUAUAAGGUGGUCAGGUAGGGUGGAGGGUGGUCAGGUAGGGUGGAGGGUGGUUAGGUAGGGUGGAGGGUGGUCAGGUAAGGUGGAGGGUGGUCAGGUAGGGUGGAGGGUGGUCAGGUAGGGUGGAGGGUGGUCAGGUAGGGUGGAGGGUGGUCAGGUAGGGUGGAGGGUGGUUAGGUAGGGUGGAGGGUGGUCAGGUAGGUUGGAGGGUGGUCAGGUAGGGUGGAGGAUGACCUGCCCCAGCUCAACACUGUUUUUGUAUAUCUGCAGUACAUUUCUACUCUAGCUUUAGUCCUCAUCCAUUGUUGAUCAGCAGGGGCUGAAGUUAUGCAUGUUGAUCAGUAGGGCUGAAGAUAUGCAUGUUGAUCAGUAGGGGCUGAAGGUAUUCAUGUUGAUCAGUAGGGGCUGAAGGUAUUCAUGUUGAUCAGUAGGGGCUGAAGGUAUGCAUGUUGAUCAGUAGGGGCUGAAGGUAUGCAUGUUGAUCAGUAGGGCUGAAGGUAUGCAUGUUGAUCAGUAGGGCUGAAGGUAUGCAUGUUGAUCAGCAGGGGCUGAAGGUAUGCAUGUUGAUCAGCAGGGGCUGAAGGUAUGCAUGUUGAUCAGCAGGGGCUGAAGGUAUGCAUGUUGAUCAGCAGGGGCUGAAGGUAUGCAUGUUGAUCAGCAGGGGCUGAAGGUAUGCAUGUUGAUCAGCAGGGGCUGAAGGU